Molecule: ribosomal RNA, 482 nt
Filed under: uncultured bacterium
Lineage: Bacteria
Description: partial 16S ribosomal RNA
Rfam family: Bacterial small subunit ribosomal RNA
Source: RNAcentral
AUUGAACGCUGGCGGCAUGCCUUACACAUGCAAGUCGAACGGUAACAGGUCUUCGGAUGCUGACGAGUGGCGAACGGGUGAGUAAUACAUCGGAACGUGCCCGAUCGUGGGGGAUAACGAAGCGAAAGCUUUGCUAAUACCGCAUACGAUCUACGGAUGAAAGCAGGGGACCGCAAGGCCUUGCGCGAACGGAGCGGCCGAUGGCAGAUUAGGUAGUUGGUGGGAUAAAAGCUUACCAAGCCGACGAUCUGUAGCUGGUCUGAGAGGACGACGAGCCACACUGGGACUGAGACACGGCCCAGACUCCUACGGGAGGCAGCAGUGGGGAAUGUUGGACAAUGGGCGAAAGCCUGAUCCAGCCAGGCCGCGUGCAGGAUGAAGACGUUCGGGUUGUAAACUGCUUUUGUACGUAACGAAAAGACUCUGGUUAAUACCUGGGGUCCAUGACGGUACCGUAAGAAUAAGCACCGGCUAACUACGUG